UAUAAGACUCUCGGCAACGGAUAUCUUGGCUCUUGCAUCGAUGAAGAACGUAGCAAAAUGCGAUACCUGGUGUGAAUUGCAGAAUCCCGUGAACCAUCGAGUUUUUGAACGCAAGUUGCGCCUGAGACCUCUUGGUUGAGGGCACGUCUGCCUGGGCGUCACGC
Molecule: ribosomal RNA, 164 nt
Filed under: Sporobolus hookerianus (alkali cordgrass)
Lineage: Eukaryota; Viridiplantae; Streptophyta; Magnoliopsida; Poales; Poaceae
Description: 5.8S ribosomal RNA
Rfam family: 5.8S ribosomal RNA
About the family: 5.8S ribosomal RNA (5.8S rRNA) is a component of the large subunit of the eukaryotic ribosome. It is transcribed by RNA polymerase I as part of the 45S precursor that also contains 18S and 28S rRNA.
Source: RNAcentral